RNAcentral lists this ribosomal RNA (292 nucleotides) under Candida albicans. RNAcentral describes it as "partial 28S ribosomal RNA". It matches the Rfam family "Eukaryotic large subunit ribosomal RNA", at positions 1 to 285 of the family's 3401-position model. The record is from RNAcentral. Lineage: Eukaryota; Fungi; Ascomycota; Pichiomycetes; Serinales; Debaryomycetaceae.
UUUGACCUCAAAUCAGGUAGGACUACCCGCUGAACUUAAGCAUAUCAAUAAGCGGAGGAAAAGAAACCAACAGGGAUUGCCUCAGUAGCGGCGAGUGAAGCGGCAAAAGCUCAAAUUUGAAAUCUGGCGUCUUUGGCGUCCGAGUUGUAAUUUGAAGAAGGUAUCUUUGGGCCCGGCUCUUGUCUAUGUUCCUUGGAACAUGACGUCACAGAGGGCGAGAAAGGGGUGAAAAUCCCAUGCCAAGGGCCCGCGUAACGUUCCUUCGACGAGUCGAGUUGUGGGGGAAUGGCAA